GGGAGGGAGGGAGAGAAAUAGCACGAAUGAGUCGUGCAGGGCCCGAUCCUGCGCUUAUUAAUCGUGCUAUAUUCAAAGGAGUUUAGUUCUCAAAUGAAACAGAGAGCUAAACUUCCAGAAUUAGAUGGUGAGGAUAGUCUUCAUCUCCGGAGUGGAGGUCUCUUUUCUCCCGAUAUAUUCUCCGCUGCUGAUGGCUGAGAUCGUUAGGCCUUAGAGAGAGGCUCGGGAGCCUGCGCCCUUGAAAGCCAAAGAGCUUAAUUCGGAGUCGGGAUGUCCAACCUGGAGCUGUUUAAAACAGCAGUUUUCUGGACAUGUCAUCGGCAGGAGCGAAAAGCAGGAAUAAAAAUUUACUCCGGUUUUCCCUCCACCUCCCCCUCUUCUGGAGGCUGGGAGGGGAGAUAAUUCCUAGGAUGGCAGCGAGCUUGUCCUCACUCAAGAGUUUGUUAAGGCGCUGCGGAGCCCUGGCUGUCCCCAGGGCGAAGCGGACAGACAGGCAGGCAGGCGGGCAGAAUUCGAAGCGACGCUGCAGCCAACGGCCUCUGACUUUACAGCCCCCUGUCCUGACCGUCUUCGGAGCUGCAGGAACACGUAGCCCCAUCUUCGGCACGUAUAUACUCCUCGGAAGUGUAAAUAAUGUUUCCUUCAAGGGACGGGGCCGUUCAGGUGCCCCUUUGCUUUGAAUGUCCCUCCUCUUUCUCCCUCAUUUGGCCCAGCUGAUCUAGAGAGGCAACCCCACCUUUGGGACGUGCGUUUCUCGACGGGACGUCUCUGAUAGAAUUUUCACACACCUGCAGAAGACCCAUCUAGUCCUAUCACACAUUAAGUCCUAGUCCUCCCGAGCUGAUCUUAAAACACGCGAUUUUGGACAGAGGGACCCGUGGGUUUCAAUGGAACUUACUUUCAAUUCUUUCCCAUGCAUCACCAGGUCAAUCUCGAUGUAAUGCUCACCACAGCCCUGUGAGGUAGGCUCUGGAGAGAGAGAGAGAGAGAGAGAGAGAGAGAGAGAGAGAGAGAGAGCUUGUUUGACAAACACAAGGUCACCCAGGGAACAUCCAUCAGGCCUGAGCCGGGAUUCAGUCCUGCGGCACCAGGAUCAACAAUCUGAUCACUUUCACCUAGCUGUAAGCUAGCCAAGGAUGCUGCCCCACACAGACCAUGCCUACUUGUGACCAUCAUUUAAAUAAAGCAUCUCCCUCUUCGGACACCUCAAAGUAUAUUUUAUCUGCUGUUGUCACACUAGAGCUGGUUGGGAGUUCUGGCUUAGCCUUGUUGUCCCUUUUGAAAGCCUGCCAUGAUUUUACUUUGUUGUUCUCCAUUUCAUAUUACUGGGUUCAAAUUGUAUGUUGGAGGCGAUCUGCAGGUGGAGAGAAUUGCUGUUGCUCUUGGGUCCUGUUUGUUGGUUUGCCAUGGGGUAUGUUGUUGGCUGCUGUGAGAACAGGAUGCUGGACAUUAGAUGGGCCUUUGUCCUGGUCCAGCAGGGCUCUUUUAUAUUCUUCAAAGGGUGUUGGGAAAAUAGCCUGAAUAUAAUAACCAAGCCUCUGACUUAGAGAUGAAGGGAAGUUUCCUCAUCUAGACUCAUGGUGGACCUUAGCUGGUGCUGGGGGUGGAGCAGGAAAGUGGGUGCAAUUUGACACAGGUCUCAUUGAAAUCAAGAUGAGACACAUCAUUUGAACCCCAGAUGCUUCAACAACCAGAUUGUAGACUGGGAGGAAGUGAGGCCUAGCAAGAGGAGUCUUUGGGGUAAUUCAGGAAUGGUCAGGGAUGGGAUCCUUUUCAUGCUAAAAGGAGAUUGGAGGUUCUGAGACAGGUUAGCUACCCCUAAUGUUGCCAUCUGAUUACACUGUAUGCACUUACACAGGACCAAAGCCCAACUGAAUACAGUGGGACUUACUUCUGAGUAAAUAUACAUAGGCUUGUGCUGUAAAACAGCCCAUCUUUUUCUCAAAAGUUUCCAAAAGAGAUUUUGGGGGUUGGUUUCAGGAAUAUCCUUCCUUGUCUCUCAACUUUAUUUUUUGCCACAAAAAGAAUAUAUAUAUGGUACACAACACAUAUGUUCUUUAAAUUACAGGAAACAAAAGAAUGAAGAAAUGGAAGAAUAUACUCAGUACAUUUUCAUAGAAAUUGAUGUUAACUCUGUGAUGUAAGUCAGGAGGGUGAGCAGAGUUUCAGCUCUGAAGGGGAUCUUGCCGAGGUUAAGUGCUUUGUCCUUGCCCCAACAAUUCCAGUGGGAAGAAGAUAAGCAAUGAGUGCGAUUAAUUCCCUUCCCUCCCUCUCUUUUUUGAAAGGAUGAGCUAUAAAAGUGCUUAAUUUGUUUCCUAUCAUGCCCUUAAAUUCUCCCUGCAAAUCUAAUAAACAAACAGCUCUUGUGUUACACACUAAA
This is a non-coding RNA of Podarcis muralis (Common wall lizard), 2380 nucleotides long. The record is from RefSeq and is a predicted model, not a curated record. Lineage: Eukaryota; Metazoa; Chordata; Lepidosauria; Squamata; Lacertidae.